RNAcentral lists this ribosomal RNA (253 nucleotides) under uncultured bacterium. Its description in RNAcentral is "partial 16S ribosomal RNA". It matches the Rfam family "Bacterial small subunit ribosomal RNA", at positions 524 to 776 of the family's 1533-position model. The record is from RNAcentral.
UACGGAGGGUGCAAGCGUUAUCCGGAUUCACUGGGUUUAAAGGGUGCGUAGGUGGGUUGGUAAGUCAGUGGUGAAAUCCCCGAGCUUAACUUGGGAACUGCCAUUGAUACUAUUAAUCUUGAAUACCGUGGAGGUUAGCGGAAUAUGUCAUGUAGCGGUGAAAUGCUUAGAUAUGACAUAGAACACCAAUUGCGAAGGCAGCUGGCUACACGAAUAUUGACACUGAGGAGCGAAAGCGUGGGGAGCGAACAGG